RNAcentral lists this ribosomal RNA (373 nucleotides) under uncultured bacterium. RNAcentral describes it as "bacterial SSU rRNA". It matches the Rfam family "Bacterial small subunit ribosomal RNA", at positions 525 to 896 of the family's 1533-position model. The record is from RNAcentral.
ACGUAGGGGGCAAGCGUUAUUCGGAAUUAUUGGGCGUAAAGCGCUCGUAGGCGGGAAGCCAAGUCCGUGCAGAAAGACCUGGGCUCAACUCAGGGAACGGCACGGAUACUGGUUUUCUUGAGGCAAUCAGAGGGUGAUGGAAUUCCCGGUGGAGCGGUGAAAUGCGUAGAGAUCGGGAGGAACACCAGUGGCGAAGGCGAUCACCUGGGGUUGUUCUGACGCUGAGGAGCGAAAGCUAGGGGAGCGAACGGGAUUAGAUACCCCGGUAGUCCUAGCCGUAAACGAUGGAUACUAGGUGUAUGUGGUAUCGACUCCAUAUGUGCCGUAGGUAACACAAUAAGUAUCCCGCCUGGGGAGUACGGCCGCAAGGUUA